Ictalurus punctatus (channel catfish) is the source of this 996-nucleotide long non-coding RNA. Lineage: Eukaryota; Metazoa; Chordata; Actinopteri; Siluriformes; Ictaluridae. The record is from Ensembl.
GUGGCAACUCUGCUACCAUUGGUGUGUGUGUGUGUGUGAAUGGGUGAAUGAGAACCAGUGUAAAGCGCUUUAGAACCAUAGGGGUUAAGAAAGUGCAGACCAUUUCCCAUGCUUUUCUGUGAUAUAAUGGAUAUUCUGAUAUCCUUGGGUUAAAAAAAAAAUAAUUACAAAUUGUUAAAAGUUUUUAAAAUUAGAAGUGAAUAGAAGUAGUUAGAAGUUAGUAGUAGUUAGAAGUAGAAGUGGUUAGAAGUGAAUAGAAGUAGAAGUAGUUAGAAGUAGAAGUGAAUAGCAGUAGUUAGAAUUAGAAGUAGUUAGAAGUGAAUAGAAGUAGGUAGAAGUAGAAGUGAAUAGAAGUAGGUAGAAGGGAAUAGAAGUGGUUAGAAGUAGGUAGAAGUAGUUAGAAGUAGUAGUGAAUAGAAGUAAGAAGAAAUAGGUAGAAGUAGUCAGAAGUAGAAGUGGAUAGAAGUCGAAGUAGUUAGAAGUGAGUAGAAGUAGUUAGAUGUGGUUCGAAUUGAAUAGAAGCGGUUAGAAGUAGAAGUGAAUAAAAGUAAAUAGAAGUAGGUAGAUGUGAAUAGAAGUAGUUAGAAGUAGGAAUAGUUAGAAGUAAGUAGAAGUGAAUAGAAGUAGAAGUGAAUAGAAGUAGUUAGAAGUAGAAGUGAAUAGAAGUAGUAGAAUAGAAUAGAAGUAGAAGUGAAUUGAAGUGAAUAGAAGUAGAAGUGAAUAGAAGUGAGUAGAAGUAGAAGUAGUUAGAAGUGAGUAGAAGUGAAUAGAAGUAGAAGUGAGUAGAAGUAGUAAUGAGUAGAAGUAGAAGUGAGUAGAAGUAGUUAGUAGAAGUGAGUAGAAGUAGAAGUGAUUAGAAGUAGAAGUGAGUAGUUAGUAGAAGUGAUUAGAAGUAGAAGUGAGUAGUUAGUAGAAGUGAGUAGAAGUAUUAGUAGAAGUGAGUAGAAGUGAAUAGAAGUAGAAGUGAGUAGAAGUAGAAGUACUUAGUAGAAGUGA